AUGGAUCUUCAUAGAAUUUGAUACAUGUAAUCAAUAAACAACAAGAUUGACUUAUUUAAAAAUAGAAAAAGAUUUAAGCCUACAAUAGACCAACUUGUUUAAAAAACAAGUAGUCUUGAUAUUGCAACAAAAUAAUUAUACUUUUUCAUCCAUAUUAAAUUAUAGUUAUUUCUUGCAAUAGGCAUUUGUAGUGAUCUUUUAUUAUUCUUGAGCUUCCUUUAAUUUUACCUUUAUUACUAUAUAUAG
This 246-nucleotide long non-coding RNA is filed under the name Physcomitrium patens. Its description in RNAcentral is "long non-coding RNA (PPAT_LNC010629)". Lineage: Eukaryota; Viridiplantae; Streptophyta; Bryopsida; Funariales; Funariaceae. The record is from RNAcentral.